This 640-nucleotide ribosomal RNA is filed under the name uncultured bacterium. RNAcentral describes it as "bacterial SSU rRNA". It matches the Rfam family "Bacterial small subunit ribosomal RNA", at positions 233 to 863 of the family's 1533-position model. The record is from RNAcentral.
GCGUACCAUUAGCUAGUUGGCAGGGUAAUGGCCUACCAAGGCGACGAUGGUUAGCUGGUCUGAGAGGAUGAUCAGCCACACUGGAACUGACACACGGUCCAGACUCCUACGGGAGGCAGCAGUGAGGAAUUUUGCGCAAUGGGGGCAACCCUGACGCAGCAACGCCGCGUGAGUGAUGAAGGCCUUUGGGUCGUAAAACUCUGUCAGCAGGAAAGAAGUUAUAUGUGGUUAAUACCCAUGUAUAUUGACGGUACCUGCAAAGGAAGCACCGGCUAACUCCGUGCCAGCAGCCGCGGUAACACGGAGGGUGCAAGCGUUAUUCGGAAUUAUUGGGCGUAAAGGGCGCGUAGGCGGCCGAUCAGGUCAGGUGUGAAAGCCCGGGGCUUAACCCCGGAAGUGCAUUUGAAACCGGUUGGCUUGAGUAUGGGAGAGGAGAGCGGAAUUCCUGGUGUAGAGGUGAAAUUCGUAGAUAUCAGGAGGAACACCGGUGGCGAAGGCGGCUCUCUGGACCAAUACUGACGCUGAGGCGCGAAGGCGUGGGUAGCAAACAGGAUUAGAUACCCUGGUAGUCCACGCAGUAAACGUUGUUCACUAGGUGUAGUGGGUAUUGACCCCUACUGUGCCGCAGCUAACGCAUUAA